CCGUGCGGGUAAAGAUGAAACAAUAUCCAAAGCUUGUAUCGAAUUGUUAUCAUGGCGAACAUGGUAAAUCUUGGAGCUUGUUUUAUGUUUAGUUCUGGACUGUUCAUCGAUGCCGGGGCCCCUCCUGAGUUCUCAGGAGUAUCGAAGCUGCUUAGGCUUAUUGAACACGUGGAUUCGAAUGUCAUUGGGAAGGCGCGACGCAGGGUCCCAGCGCUGCAGCCGAUUGUGACCGUGGCAGAGCAACAAGACCUCCCGCCAGGCUCCGUCCCUCCCCACCGGCUCCACAUCACGCUAAGCACGCGUCCUAUCUCUCAGCCAUCUAGUGCCGGGCGACUGCGAACAGGUGGAGGGGAUUAACUGCGGAUCAAAGGCAUCGUGCCUUCCAAACCCGUGUGUAUAACCUCGGAUGUCACUUACGCAGAAGCCUCCUUCACGGCACGGCUUUCGCCAAAUGCACGACAAGCCUCACGUCUUUUUGAGCGAGCGCAAGGGACGGUGGGUACCUACUAACCUUGCUGGUCGUGCCGUCCCAUCUUCCAUCCGCUCGCAUCCACUGGGCCCUGCACUGUCGGAGACUUAUCCUACCAGCACGCCUAUCACGAGACCACUCACCACGUAAGGUAAGAGGGCGUCAAACCCCCUCUCUCUUCUCUCCGAUCCGCCGCUGCCGCCACCCCAGGCAUCCGUGGCCACUGGUCGAGCUCGGAUACGUGUGGAUGCCGAAACGGAAGAUGGCUCCUGCGGCUGCUCUCUGGAGGCCAGCACGGCGCUUACACCAGGCCAGUCCACGCCCUUGC
This 797-nucleotide long non-coding RNA is filed under the name Volvox carteri. RNAcentral describes it as "long non-coding RNA (VCAR_LNC003304)". The record is from RNAcentral. Lineage: Eukaryota; Viridiplantae; Chlorophyta; Chlorophyceae; Chlamydomonadales; Volvocaceae.